GUUGAUGGCCGGAGGCUCCCUGCCCCGGCACGUGUUGGCUAUGAAACUAA
Molecule: small RNA, 50 nt
Filed under: Sinorhizobium meliloti 2011
Lineage: Bacteria; Pseudomonadati; Pseudomonadota; Alphaproteobacteria; Hyphomicrobiales; Rhizobiaceae
Description: putative ncRNA
Source: RNAcentral